GGCCGUGACCCGGGACACCGGGACCGCAGGGGUCCGGUUGGUCCGCCGGCACACCGCUGACCGUGAGAUCGGUCCACCUGACGGCUGAACACCGCCCUGAUAUCCACAAAAAUCCCAAUUGUGAUAAGCCAAUUGUGCAGGAGCGUGACAUUGUCGAAAGAAACAAAAUUGCAACAACAGAAGACGGCUGCUUCGGCUGAAUCAAAAUUUUGCAGGGGAUGAGAUAGAGAAAAGAGGGUUUGCAGUCUUGGGAAAGGCUUCAAGAGCUUCAAAUUCAGAUAUCUUAAAUACGCAUUGCUCAAUGAUCAUAUUCUACAUCAAUUCCAUUGUAAUUUAUCUGUCCAUUUCUAGCGCGUUGUCGCGUGGUUUUCCAUACUGGCAUAGCUCGUCAUGAGGCUCCUCCUCCGCUCUCUGCCAAUCGGAGAACUCUUCCCCUCCGCCAGCCAAUGACAGGGCCGGUCACGUGAUGGCCCGGGGCGCCGCAGGUCACCAGGGCACCAGACACCGGGGUCAGGCCGUAGAUCUCGGACUCCGCGGCGACCGGUUGGAGCAGAGUGGAGCAGCCUAAUUGUCCUCUGAGGUUCUGUUGGGAAUAUUCAUAUUGGCCGGCAGCCAUGCGUCUGUUCUCGCCCGUUCUGCUGGUGGUGUUGCUGCUUCUCGGCACGGUUGCCAUGGUUACCGGCGGACACAGGAGUAGCCACCACGGCCGCAAGCACGGCGGCCACGGACAUCACGGCAGCAAGCACCACGGUCACCAUCGCGGCCACGGACACCACUGAUGUCAGUCGGGACCUCGGCCCGGUGCCUGCGACUUUACUUCGCGGGGGACGAACGGUGAUGCGGCCGCGUGGCUAGGACUGCACGCUCACUCUGGGUGAAGAGUUGAUGCGGUUGUGCCUGGUGUUUUACAGAUGCUUGGUGCAGUUACAGGGAGAGUGACUGAUGGUUUUAACGGCCGUCAUAUUGUAAAAGGCAUGCUUCACUGUGCGAAAAAGAAAGUGUUUUGGCCUAAGCGUGCUGCCGCGAGCGUCUGUGUUGCGUCUGUGUUUUUAGCAUUAUUGAAGACAUGCGAACACUAUUUUAUUGCCUUGUCGAAUAUUUUUGUGUCUGGCAUAUGAACCUACAAAAUGAGUUUUAAUUCAGAUCCACUGUCUUAAUAUUUACCGAAAUAAUGCCUGAAGCAAAUAAACUUCUGCCAGCAUUCGC
This is a long non-coding RNA of Amphibalanus amphitrite, 1206 nucleotides long. RefSeq lists it as uncharacterized. Lineage: Eukaryota; Metazoa; Arthropoda; Thecostraca; Balanomorpha; Balanidae. The record is from RefSeq and is a predicted model, not a curated record. The transcript has 2 exons.